Molecule: long non-coding RNA, 931 nt
Organism: Coregonus clupeaformis (lake whitefish)
Lineage: Eukaryota; Metazoa; Chordata; Actinopteri; Salmoniformes; Salmonidae
Exons: 3
Source: RefSeq, a predicted model, not a curated record
UUUAUUUAUUAUCAUAAAAUCCUCCUAAAUCCCUCAAAUAAAAACGUAAUUUUGCAUCAAUUAGCCAGAUAAGCUAAUGUUAGCAAAUUAGCUGAAAGGAAUGAAAAGGACUUUUGCCACAUGGAAAAUUCAGAACUGGAAGAAGUGCAAGAGAAAUGAAGGUAAUACAUUUAUUUUUCUUCAUUUACAACUAAAGAGAUAGUUAUUAUCUAAGCUGUUCUUACAUUUAAGUGUUCUUGACCACAAAUGUUACUUAGCACUAUCAUGUUUUUCCAUUUAAAGCCAAAGUGAUGAUAUUGGUUGUUCAGUUCAGAUAAUGUUAUUUGUAGAGUUUACAGUACUAUACUUUUAUAACAGUAUUUAUCUUUGAAGGUGUUAAGAUUGCUUACUGUGCUUACUGUGAAAAGAUUGCUAUUGUGAUUGCAGUUGCAUAAGGUUUGCACUGAUCGGUUAGCCUAAUAAGCUAACCGGAUACUGCAUUAGUAAGAACAUGAGCACGAUAUGACUAAAGGCAGACUAAUACCAUUUGAUAUAUUCUUAUUCGAUUCAAAUCAAGUAUUAGUCUUUUCUGUAUUUGUCUCGUUGACUUUUUGUCAUCCAAUGUAGAUGUUUUCUAGUUGAGGAGCACAUGGGCAAUUGAAGAGCAUGUCAAAACGAAGAGCCAGACUUAGUCCUGAGGCUGAGGCUAUUCAUUUUAUUAUUUCUGGAAGUGACAAGCCUUGUAUAAAGUCAAAUGGAUCAAUGACUAUAAAGGACGUGGUGUAUUUGCCUCAGCACCAAUUGAAAAGGGAUCCUUUGUCCUCGAGUACCGUGGGGAGUUUAUAUCGCAAUAUGAAUGGGACAAGAGGCAGGGGAAGUAUACGGAAAAGCAAAAUGCUUUCUUGUUUGAUUUUGAAUGGAACAAUGGCUCAUGGUGCAUAGAUGCAUCCUG